GUAGGGAAUAUUGGGCAAUGGGUGCAAGCCUGACCCAGCCAUCCCGCGUGCCGGAUGAAGGCCCUCUGGGUCGUAAACGGCUUUUGACGGUGAAGAACCGAAAGGGUGCGCCCUUUUUUGACGGUAGCCGUUGAAUAAGCACCGGCUAACUCCGUGCCAGCAGCCGCGGUAAUACGGAGGGUGCGAGCGUUGUCCGGAUUUAUUGGGUUUAAAGGGUGCGUAGGCUGGAGGGACAGUCAGCGGUGAGAAGCAGUUGCUCAACAAUUGUCUUGCCGCAGAUACUACCGUUCUUGGAUUGGGAGGAGGUUACCGGAACGGAUGGUGUAGCGGUGAAAUGCAUAGAUAUCAUCCAGAACGCCAAUUGCGAAGGCAGGUAACUGUACCUAUAUCGACGCUGAUGCACGAAAGCAUGGGUAGCGAACAGGAUUAGAAACCCGGGUAGUCC
Molecule: ribosomal RNA, 445 nt
Filed under: uncultured bacterium
Lineage: Bacteria
Description: partial 16S ribosomal RNA
Rfam family: Bacterial small subunit ribosomal RNA
Source: RNAcentral